This 223-nucleotide ribosomal RNA is filed under the name uncultured Anoxybacillus sp. RNAcentral describes it as "partial 16S ribosomal RNA". It matches the Rfam family "Bacterial small subunit ribosomal RNA", at positions 1157 to 1382 of the family's 1533-position model. The record is from RNAcentral. Lineage: Bacteria; Bacillati; Bacillota; Bacilli; Caryophanales; Anoxybacillaceae.
UAAAAGUCGGAGGAAGUGGGGAUGACGUCAAAUCAUCAUGCCCUUAUGACCUGGGCUACACACGUGCUACAAUGGGCGGUACAAAGGGUCGCGAACCCGCAGGGGAGCCAAUCCCAAAAAGCCGCUACUCAGUUCGGAUUGCAGGCUGCAACUCGCCUGCAUGAAGCCGGAAUCGCUAGUAAUCGCGGAUCAGCAUGCCGCGGUGAAUACGUUCCCGGGCCUU